GCCCUGGUGGAUCAGUUGGAAGAUCCUCCGCUUUCAAUGUGUCAUCUCUGUGAAAAAGCAUUUCAGCGGACGACGCGGGUUCGAGUCCCGCCCGGGGCG
Molecule: non-coding RNA, 99 nt
Organism: Mycena polygramma
Lineage: Eukaryota; Fungi; Basidiomycota; Agaricomycetes; Agaricales; Mycenaceae
Source: the annotation of a GenBank genome assembly